AUUGAACGCUGGCGGCAGGCUAACACAUGCAAGUCGAGCGGCAGCGGAAAGUAGCUUGCUACUUUGCCGGCGAGCGGCGGACGGGUGAGUAAUGUCUGGGAAACUGCCUGAUGGAGGGGGAUAACUACUGGAAACGGUAGCUAAUACCGCAUGACCUCGAAAGAGCAAAGUGGGGGAUCUUCGGACCUCACGCCAUCGGAUGUGCCCAGAUGGGAUUAGCUAGUAGGUGAGGUAAUGGCUCACCUAGGCGACGAUCCCUAGCUGGUCUGAGAGGAUGACCAGCCACACUGGAACUGAGACACGGUCCAGACUCCUACGGGAGGCAGCAGUGGGGAAUAUUGCACAAUGGGCGCAAGCCUGAUGCAGCCAUGCCGCGUGUGUGAAGAAGGCCUUAGGGUUGUAAAGCACUUUCAGCGAGGAGGAAGGCAUCAUACUUAAUACGUGUGGUGAUUGACGUUACUCGCAGAAGAAGCACCGGCUAACUCCGUGCCAGCAGCCGCGGUAAUACGGAGGGUGCAAGCGUUAAUCGGAAUUACUGGGCGUAAAGCGCACGCAGGCGGUUUGUUAAGUCAGAUGUGAAAUCCCCGCGCUUAACGUGGGAACUGCAUUUGAAACUGGCAAGCUAGAGUCUUGUAGAGGGGGGUAGAAUUCCAGGUGUAGCGGUGAAAUGCGUAGAGAUCUGGAGGAAUACCGGUGGCGAAGGCGGCCCCCUGGACAAAGACUGACGCUCAGGUGCGAAAGCGUGGGGAGCAAACAGG
Molecule: ribosomal RNA, 758 nt
Filed under: uncultured Enterobacteriaceae bacterium
Lineage: Bacteria; Pseudomonadati; Pseudomonadota; Gammaproteobacteria; Enterobacterales; Enterobacteriaceae
Description: bacterial SSU rRNA
Rfam family: Bacterial small subunit ribosomal RNA
Source: RNAcentral